UUUAUGGAGAGUUUGAUCCUGGCUCAGGACGAACGCUGGCGGCGUGCCUAAUACAUGCAAGUCGAGCGCAGGAAACUGACGGAACUCUUCGGAGGGAAGGCAGUGGAAUGAGCGGCGGACGGGUGAGUAACACGUAAGGAACCUGCCUCAAGGAUUGGGAUAACUCCGAGAAAUCGGAGCUAAUAC
This is a ribosomal RNA of 186 nucleotides. It matches the Rfam family "Bacterial small subunit ribosomal RNA", at positions 1 to 169 of the family's 1533-position model.